Molecule: ribosomal RNA, 254 nt
Filed under: uncultured bacterium
Lineage: Bacteria
Description: partial 16S ribosomal RNA
Rfam family: Bacterial small subunit ribosomal RNA
Source: RNAcentral
UACGUAGGGUGCGAGCGUUAAUCGGAAUUACUGGGCGUAAAGCGUGCGCAGGCGGUCUGUUAAGACCGAUGUGAAAUCCCCGGGCUUAACCUGGGAACUGCAUUGGUGACUGGCAGGCUUUGAGUGUGGCAGAGGGAGGUAGAAUUCCACGUGUAGCAGUGAAAUGCGUAGAGAUGUGGAGGAAUACCGAUGGCGAAGGCAGCCUCCUGGGCCAACACUGACGCUCAUGCACGAAAGCGUGGGGAGCAAACGGG